GCUCUAGGAUAGCUUAGCUGGUAGAGCAUGACACUCUUAAUAUCAGGGUUGUGGGUUCAAGCCCCACGUUGGGCA
Podarcis lilfordi (Lilford's wall lizard) is the source of this 75-nucleotide non-coding RNA. The record is from the annotation of a GenBank genome assembly. NCBI's taxonomy places the organism in Eukaryota, Metazoa, Chordata, Lepidosauria, Squamata, Lacertidae.